UACGUAGGGGGCGAGCGUUGUCCGGAUUCAUUGGGCGUAAAGCGCGCGUAGGCGGCUUGGCAAGUCGGCCGUGAAAUCUCCGGGCUCAACUCGGAGGGGUCGGGCGAGACUGCCAGGCUCGAGGUGGGCAGAGGGCAGUGGAAUUCCGGGUGUAGUGGUGGAAUGCGUAGAGAUCCGGAGGAACACCAGUGGCGAAGGCGGCUGCCUGGGCCUGGCCUGACGCCGAGGCGCGAAAGCGUGGGGAGCGAGCCGG
Molecule: ribosomal RNA, 253 nt
Filed under: uncultured bacterium
Lineage: Bacteria
Description: partial 16S ribosomal RNA
Rfam family: Bacterial small subunit ribosomal RNA
Source: RNAcentral